RNAcentral lists this non-coding RNA (30 nucleotides) under Rattus norvegicus (Norway rat). The record is from RNAcentral. Lineage: Eukaryota; Metazoa; Chordata; Mammalia; Rodentia; Muridae.
UGGAUCAAACUGCACAAGACUCUCACCUUC